This 494-nucleotide ribosomal RNA is filed under the name uncultured bacterium. RNAcentral's name for it is "partial 16S ribosomal RNA". It matches the Rfam family "Bacterial small subunit ribosomal RNA", at positions 28 to 507 of the family's 1533-position model. The record is from RNAcentral.
GACGAACGCUGGCGGCGUGCUUAACACAUGCAAGUCGAACGGUGAAGCGCCUUCCUUUUUGGUGGGUGUGGAUGAGUGGCGAACGGGUGAGUAACACGUGAGUAACCUGCCCCCUUCUUCUGGAUAACCGCAUGAAAGUGUGGCUAAUACGGGAUAUUCUGGGUCUGUCGCAUGAUGGGUCUGGGAAAGAUAUUGUUUCGGUGGGGGAUGGGCUCGCGGCCUAUCAGCUUGUUGGUGGGGUGAUGGCCUACCAAGGCGGUGACGGGUAGCCGGCCUGAGAGGGUGGACGGUCACACGGGGACUGAGACACGGCCCAGACUCCUACGGGAGGCAGCAGUGGGGAAUAUUGCACAAUGGGCGCAAGCCUGAUGCAGCGACGCCGCGUGAGGGAUGGAGGCCUUCGGGUUGUGAACCUCUUUCGCCAGUGAAGCAGGCCUGCCUCGUUUGUGGGUGGCUUGACGGUAGCUGGAUAAGAAGCGCCGGCUAACUACGUG